Molecule: ribosomal RNA, 253 nt
Filed under: uncultured bacterium
Lineage: Bacteria
Description: partial 16S ribosomal RNA
Rfam family: Bacterial small subunit ribosomal RNA
Source: RNAcentral
UACAGAGGGGGCAAGCGUUGUUCGGAAUUACUGGGCGUAAAGGGCGCGUAGGCGGCCUUCUAAGUCGAACGUGAAAUCCCCGGGCCCAACCCGGGAACUGCGUCCGAUACUGGAAGGCUUGAAUCCGGGAGAGGGAUGCGGAAUUCCAGGUGUAGCGGUGAAAUGCGUAGAUAUCUGGAGGAACACCGGUGGCGAAGGCGGCAUCCUGGACCGGCAUUGACGCUCAUGCACGAAAGCGUGGGGAGCAAACAGG